UAACAAAACUAUCAAAAGCAGCUAUUUCAUCAACUUUGUUUAGUAUAUAUAUCGCCAAGCAACCUUUCUAAUUGCUUGUAAUACAUGUAACUCAACAUUUGAAGAACAAAACCAAUGAAACAAAGACUAUAUAGAACAAAAAUUCCUUCGCCAUAAAGCAGAAGGCAAGGAAUACAUCCAAGAGAAACUUAAAAAAUAAAAUAAAUAAAUAAAUAAAAAGAGAUAAUAUAAGAGAGGCGCUGCCUCUCUCGCCUAGCGCCUCCUCGCUGUGGGGAGAGAGGCGCUUGCCUCUCUUAUCCCAAGCAAGGCACUGCGUGGCGCCUCGCCCGACGCCUUUUGGCGCCUCGCCCGACGCCUUUUGGCGCCUCGCCCGACGCCUUUUGGCGCCUUUAACAACACUGUUCCCAAGAAUACCCAUUUCCAAAUUUGAUAGCUAAGAGAAAGUAAUGAGAAAAGGCCAAAUUUCCAAUUUUGUUAUUUUUGAACAAUAAAACUAAAGCUUCUGCUCAACAAUCUAGUAGUAAACAAUUUGACUAUUUUGAAUAAGUUUUUCAGUCCUUCAUGAAUACAAAGGAUGUGGAGAAAAAGAUGAAAAUGUU
RNAcentral lists this unclassified non-coding RNA (599 nucleotides) under Hevea brasiliensis (rubber tree). Lineage: Eukaryota; Viridiplantae; Streptophyta; Magnoliopsida; Malpighiales; Euphorbiaceae. The record is from RNAcentral.